ACCAUCCUGUGUCACGCAACGAUAGUUUCCAGCAAGCAACAUCGACCAUUUUGCCAGCGGCACAAAUAUUGAUUGAUGAACUCGCAAUUUUACCGGGAUCUCAAUAUUGCCAGUUCCGAAACGAGCGGCGUCAAUGUCUCGUUCAAGUCGUUCGAGGAUCGCAUCACUUUUCUCGUUAUCGAAUCUCGCUACCUUGAAAUUUGUUGGCAGCGUUACUUGCAAUAUAUUCGGCCUCUCAUCUGGAGGACGAA
RNAcentral lists this unclassified non-coding RNA (251 nucleotides) under Hevea brasiliensis (rubber tree). Lineage: Eukaryota; Viridiplantae; Streptophyta; Magnoliopsida; Malpighiales; Euphorbiaceae. The record is from RNAcentral.